CAGUCGCCGCGGUAAUACGUAGGUGGCAAGCGUUGUCCGGAAUUAUUGGGCGUAAAGGGCUCGCAGGCGGUUUCUUAAGUCUGAUGUGAAAGCCCCCGGCUCAACCGGGGAGGGUCAUUGGAAACUGGGAAACUUGAGUGCAGAAGAGGAGAGUGGAAUUCCACGUGUAGCGGUGAAAUGCGUAGAGAUGUGGAGGUACACCAGUGGCGAAGGCGACUCUCUGGUCUGUAACUGACGCUGAGGAGCGAAAGCGUAGGGAGCGAACAGGAUUAGAUACCCCAGUAGUCCCUGUCUCUUAUAA
RNAcentral lists this ribosomal RNA (301 nucleotides) under uncultured bacterium. RNAcentral's name for it is "partial 16S ribosomal RNA". It matches the Rfam family "Bacterial small subunit ribosomal RNA", at positions 509 to 809 of the family's 1533-position model. The record is from RNAcentral.